Molecule: long non-coding RNA, 1046 nt
Filed under: Anser brachyrhynchus (Pink-footed goose)
Lineage: Eukaryota; Metazoa; Chordata; Aves; Anseriformes; Anatidae
Description: lncRNA (ENSABRG00000014173.1)
Source: RNAcentral
CCGGUGUUGAAAUUUCCAUCCACUCCCUUUUGGGUGGACUUUUGGGGGGAUGUGUAGUACUAGGGGAACCUAUAGAUAGGAACUGAAGUUGCAGGGUGCAAGGCCUUCUAUGGCUUCCUCCUGAAAUUGCAAAUACCUCACUCUCUGAGAGUUCCUCCUUAUCCUCAUUGACCAUCUUAACACAACACCCCCAGCUUUUGCACCCCAAUUUUCCUUUCCGUAACAAGCCCAGCUGGCAUCAUCUUGUCCAAUUGCUCUCUAUUGCUGUAGAGCAAGGAGGAAAGAAUUCUUUUUUUUUUUCUUUUUUUUUUUUUUCCCCUGUAAUUGCUUAAUUCUCUCACUGCACUUAAAAAGGUUGAAGUGAAGAAAAUGCAUCCCUGCACAAAGUAUUUUGGGCAGAGGGAGCAUGGUGAAAGCAAGGAAGUGGAAUUAUACUGCAAAUGUCAGGAGCUAUGAAAAAUGUAACAGACUUUAAUAUUCUUCUGCUGUUACUGCUGAGAGUGUCUCUUACCUGCAUUCACAGGAAGUGAAAUGCCUUUUAUUGAGCAGAGCUGCCACUGAGCAGAAAAGAUUUCUGUGCUUCCUAUAUUUAUUUUAAAGCUACACUGUGGCAUGCAUUCCGAUAAUAAAUGUUCUUUCCCUACAAACUCUCACGUAGCCUUCAACUUUAAGAUUAGUUUAAGCUUUUAGGAUUAACCCCUAUACCAUGCUCCACUGAAAUUCAGCCCCAAAUGCCCUGCUACUUAUACCUUAGAAUGGAUUUCUGCAUUCCAAAUUGUAACCACCUGUGAUACCUAAUGCUAACUGGUGAUGUGCCAGCAACUUGGAUGCUGCUCUGAAGAUGUAAAACAUUAACCACGCAUUUCUCUGUAGCUCACUUCCCCAUGGGAUUACUUUUCAAGACCAAAGAAAAACCCAUUUUACACAUUAAAAUUGAAAGUAGCAUUGCUGAAAGGGCCGUGAUGGCUCAGAGCAUCUUGUCUAGCUCUGGGAGGGGUCUCACGAGGUGCAAGCAGCCCCUCAACCCGCAUCCCCCUCCUGUCUUG